ACCAUGGACUGGUCCCUAGUGACCUCCAGGGUCGCUGUUCUGAGAGCUUCAGGUAGGAGCUGCACCCCCGCCAGGGGUCGCUGUCCCCUCGCCAGUGCACUACAGCGACUCCACCCGGCGGUGAGUCCUUGGCCGCCCGCCAGGGGUCGCUGUCCCCCGGACCAGUGCACUACAGCUACUCCACCCGGCGGUGAGUCCUCGGCCGCCCGCCAGGGGUCGCUGUUCCCGCGAGAACCCCCGCCGAGGCCACGCCCCCGCGGUCGGUUGUCUUCCGCCGCACGGGAGGGAUCCGGCUCCACACUGCGGGACCGCGGGGCCGGGGCGGGUGUCUUCCCUGACGGACGCGACCUGCGUCCCGGCGGCGGCUGCUCGGCGACGCGCCAGGCCCAGCGUGCGAGCGGCCAGCCGGCCGGGCGCGCGCUCUCGGGUCGGGCUCGCCACACCCUCCGCCUCUCCCCCUCCCUCAGGAAACGACAGCUGCGCGGGGCUGGCGCCGCCUCCCGCCACCUCCCACGUCCGCCCCGCCGUCGCCCGGCGCCCCAGCCCCGCCGUCGCCGCCGCGGCGCCCCCCGCCUCCCCGCUAGCCCAGCCGGCGGCUCUGUCCCGCCGCCGCCGUCGCCCGGCAUGAACAUCAUGGAUUUCAACGUGAAGAAGCUGGCGGCCGACGCGGGCACCUUCCUCAGCCGGGCCGUGCAGUUCACAGAAGAGAAGCUUGGCCAAGCAGAGAAGACGGAAUUGGAUGCACACUUGGAAAACCUCCUUAGCAAAGCCGAAUGUACCAAAAUAUGGACAGAAAAGAUAAUGAAACAGACUGAAGUGCUUUUGCAGCCAAAUCCAAAUGCCAGGAUAGAAGAAUUUGUUUAUGAGAAACUGGAUAGAAAAGCACCAAGUCGCAUAAACAACCCAGAACUUCUGGGACAAUAUAUGAUUGAUGCCGGGACCGAGUUUGGCCCAGGGACAGCUUAUGGUAAUGCCCUUAUUAAAUGUGGAGAAACACAGAAACGAAUCGGAACAGCUGACAGAGAGUUGAUUCAAACAUCAGCCUUAAAUUUCCUCACUCCUUUAAGAAACUUUAUAGAAGGGGAUUACAAAACAAUCGCAAAAGAAAGAAAACUAUUACAGAAUAAGAGACUGGAUUUGGAUGCUGCAAAAACGAGACUUAAAAAGGCAAAAGCUGCAGAAACUAAAAGUUCUCAACUAAACUCCGCCCGCCUUGAAGGAGAUAGCAUUAUGGUAAAUUUCUCUUACAUGCUCAACUUCCUGCAUGUAAAAUGGCUGAAGGUUUGUUGGCCUACUGUGUUUUCUACAUCUUCAGUAAAAUGCCUUCUCUUGCUAUUAGCUACAUGUAGAAAUCUAAAAUAGCUAAAGUUAAUUAUUGAUUUUGUCUGGGGGAAAAAAUGCCACUUGAAGUGAUACUGAAACCUGAAGAUCUGCCAAAUUUGUAGGUCAUGUUAAAACAGAUUUUAAAAUCAUUGGUGUGUACAAAACAGAUGUUAAAAUUAUUGGUGUAUAAUGGUAUACUGCUCUUUUACAUUAGCAGAGAUGGUGGUUUAGGGUUAGUUUAGAUGCAGUUUCAUUGUGCUACUUGUAGCAGUGAAAAUCACCAAGAUUUACCUUACUUGGAAAACAGUAAAAGUAUGCAAAUUAACUUUGUUUUUUGUUUAAUAACUUCAAUAUUUACCAUAUUGUUAUUGAAAUUCAAUAUAGAAUUUUUUUUUCUGCCAUUCUAGGAUGAGACAAAUUCCCAUGGCCAGGGCUAUUCCUUAUCCAGUACAAACUCACUUAAAAUUUCAGAGUAGUGAUAGCCUGGAAUAAGAGAAUGAAAGUUGUUUAUAAUAACUAAUGUACACAUUGAGCUCAAAUUGAAGAAAGUUUUGAGAUGUUACAUUUGUUUUGGUUUUUGUUUUUUACUUUAAUAAAAUUAUGUGAAGAUAGGAAAAGAGUUAAUUCAUGUUAGCCUCUAGCAAUUUAUACUCCUUGGAGCUGGGUACAUGGUUCAGUCAGUAUAGUGCUUGCCACGCACUCAGGAGGACCUGGGUUUGGAUUCCCAGCACCCACAUAAAAAAAAUCCAUAUAUUGCAGUGCAUAUCAACAACCCCAGCACUGGAGGCCAGGGUAGAAAUGGGAAGGUCCCUAGUGCUAAUUGGUAAGCUCCAGGUUCAGUAAGAGACCCUGGUCAAACGUAAGGUGGAGAGCAGACAAGAAAGACACCUAAAGUCAAUCCCUACCCUCUACAUAUAUGCACCACUACCACCACCCCAUCAUGCACACACACACACACAUGCAAAUUAAUUCUUGGAAUUAUAGUAUAAAUAAGUUACUGCUAUUUAAAGUGAUAAGAAAUCAAUAGUCUACUUAAUAAUUAAUGGGUCAUUAAUUGCUUUUAUUCUAUUAGCAUUGAAUUAAAACAUGAAAAAUAAACCUGAUGUUUUGGAAUUUGCCUUUGUUCCCAACUGUUAAUUUUUGAAGUCCUGGCUAAAUUACAGCUUUUGUUAUAUAGCAAGAGAACGUAUUAUUUAUUUCCAUUUUCCUAUCUAUAGGUAAUUGAAAAGGGUGAGACUAUUUCAGUCAUUUUUAAUUUUGUAUAAAUCAGGUUUUCUUUUGUCCAUGGUAAAAAUAUCUUAAACAAUUUGCAAAACUUUGCUUGAUUUAUUAAUAGCAUUUGUUUUACAGUCAUUUAUCAUCUACUUACAUUAAGAUCUUUAACUGGCAACCUUAAAUUUAUUAUAUUUCAAAUUGAUUGUUUCUAAAAAAAAUGGUUGUAUCAGUAACAUUCAAUGUCUAUAUAUCCUUUUAUUUACUAAAAUUUUAGAAUUUAUACCUGAAAGAAAAGUUAGAAAUCAUGCAGUUCAAACCUCUCAUUUUAUAUUAGAGACUCUGUCGGUUUUCUAUGAAAGGUCAGAUAUUCUCAAUUUGCGAAAACUUAAGUUAUUAUCUGUAGAGUUAUAAUAUUUUGAAGUUGGUAGUAUUGAUGAAUAUAAAAGGCAGACUUCAAAAUAUAUUCAGCUAUACUGAAUUACAUUACUAUUGUGUUCACUUUAUAAGGGGGCGACUAUGCCAUUUAAAUUAUAUACAUUUUUCUAUACUAAGUUGUAGGAAAUGUUAAAUUCCAACUUCAUUUCAUGCUCUAAAAUUCUCUCUAAUUUUUAAUGCUGGCUAGAUUUGGGCAGAGGAAGUGACAAAAUCUGAACAGGAAUUACGAAUAACUCAAAGUGAAUUUGAUCGUCAAGCAGAGAUUACCCGACUUCUGCUAGAGGGAAUCAGCAGUACACAC
Alexandromys fortis (reed vole) is the source of this 3274-nucleotide RNA transcript. It is a transcript of the gene named SH3 domain containing GRB2 like, endophilin B1, with no coding region annotated. The record is from RefSeq and is a predicted model, not a curated record. The transcript is spliced from 7 exons. Lineage: Eukaryota; Metazoa; Chordata; Mammalia; Rodentia; Cricetidae.